GCUCAGGAUGAACGCUAGCGGCAGGCUUAACACAUGCAAGUCGAGGGGUAUAGUUCUUCGGAACUAGAGACCGGCGCACGGGUGCGUAACGCGUAUGCAAUCUACCUUUCACAGAGGGAUAGCCCAGAGAAAUUUGGAUUAAUACCUCAUAGUAUUAUGAAAUGGCAUCAUUUUAUAAUUAAAGUCACAACGGUGAAAGAUGAGCAUGCGUCCCAUUAGCUAGUUGGUAAGGUAACGGCUUACCAAGGCGACGAUGGGUAGGGGUCCUGAGAGGGAGAUCCCCCACACUGGUACUGAGACACGGACCAGACUCCUACGGGAGGCAGCAGUGAGGAAUAUUGGACAAUGGGCGCAAGCCUGAUCCAGCCAUGCCGCGUGCAGGAUGACGGUCCUAUGGAUUGUAAACUGCUUUUGUACAGGAAGAAACACUGGUUCGUGAACCAGCU
This 446-nucleotide ribosomal RNA is filed under the name Flavobacterium sp. B2-111. Its description in RNAcentral is "bacterial SSU rRNA". It matches the Rfam family "Bacterial small subunit ribosomal RNA", at positions 22 to 469 of the family's 1533-position model. The record is from RNAcentral. Lineage: Bacteria; Pseudomonadati; Bacteroidota; Flavobacteriia; Flavobacteriales; Flavobacteriaceae.